CAGUAGCCGCGGGAAUACGAAGGGGGCUAGCGUUGCUCGGACUCACUGGGCGUAAAGGGUGCGUAGGCGGGUCUUUAAGUCAGAGGUGAAAUCCUGGAGCUCAACUCCAGAACUGCCUUUGAUACUGAAAGUCUUGAGUAUGGGAGAGGUGAGUGGAACUGCGAGUGUAGAGGUGAAAUUCGUAGAUAUUCGCAAGAACACCAGUGGCGAAGGCGGCUCACUGGCCCAUAACUGACGCUGAGGCACGAAAGCAUGGGGAGCAAACAGGAUUAGAUACCCCAGUAGUCCCUGUCUCUUAUAC
Molecule: ribosomal RNA, 301 nt
Filed under: uncultured bacterium
Lineage: Bacteria
Description: partial 16S ribosomal RNA
Rfam family: Bacterial small subunit ribosomal RNA
Source: RNAcentral